UUGAGCCGUGGUGCAGUGAAAGCUGCUCGCCCGGUUCUGAGGGGGCUUCGGCGCAGAAAUGCGCCGGGGCUACCCGAC
RNAcentral lists this non-coding RNA (78 nucleotides) under Amycolatopsis keratiniphila. Lineage: Bacteria; Bacillati; Actinomycetota; Actinomycetes; Pseudonocardiales; Pseudonocardiaceae. The record is from RNAcentral.